RNAcentral lists this ribosomal RNA (450 nucleotides) under uncultured bacterium. RNAcentral describes it as "bacterial SSU rRNA". It matches the Rfam family "Bacterial small subunit ribosomal RNA", at positions 28 to 460 of the family's 1533-position model. The record is from RNAcentral.
GACGAACGCUGGCGGCGUGCCUAACACAUGCAAGUCGAACGGGGUUUAAUGGAAUGCGGCUUCGGCCAAAGGAAGUUAAACUUAGUGGCGAACGGGUGAGUAACGCGUGAAGAACCUGCCUUUCAGUGGGGGACAACAGUUGGAAACGACUGCUAAUACCGCAUAAUGUAUUUGAGUGGCAUCACUUAAAUACCAAAGCUUUAUGUGCUGAAAGAUGGCUUCGCGUCUGAUUAGCUAGAUGGCGGGGUAACGGCCCACCAUGGCGACGAUCAGUAGCCGGUCUGAGAGGAUGAACGGCCACAUUGGGACUGAGAUACGGCCCAGACUCCUACGGGAGGCAGCAGUGGGGAAUAUUGGGCAAUGGGGGAAACCCUGACCCAGCAACGCCGCGUGAAGGAAGAAGGCCUUCGGGUUGUAAACUCUGUCCUUAUUGAGAGAGGUAGCAGUGUG